UGGCGGCGUGCCUAAUACAUGCAAGUCGAACGCUUCUUUUUCCACCGGAGCUUGCUCCACCGGAAAAAGAGGAGUGGCGAACGGGUGAGUAACACGUGGGUAACCUGCCCAUCAGAAGGGGAUAACACUUGGAAACAGGUGCUAAUACCGUAUAACAAUCGAAACCGCAUGGUUUUGAUUUGAAAGGCGCUUUCGGGUGUCGCUGAUGGAUGGACCCGCGGUGCAUUAGCUAGUUGGUGAGGUAACGGCUCACCAAGGCCACGAUGCAUAGCCGACCUGAGAGGGUGAUCGGCCACAUUGGGACUGAGACACGGCCCAAACUCCUACGGGAGGCAGCAGUAGGGAAUCUUCGGCAAUGGACGAAAGUCUGACCGAGCAACGCCGCGUGAGUGAAGAAGGUUUUCGGAUCGUAAAACUCUGUUGUUAGAGAAGAACAAGGAUGAGAGUAACUGUUCAUCCCUUGACGGUAUCUAACCAGAAAGCCACGGCUAACUACGUGCCAGCAGCCGCGGUAAUACGUAGGUGGCAAGCGUUGUCCGGAUUUAUUGGGCGUAAAGCGAGCGCAGGCGGUUUCUUAAGUCUGAUGUGAAAGCCCCCGGCUCAACCGGGGAGGGUCAUUGGAAACUGGGAGACUUGAGUGCAGAAGAGGAGAGUGGAAUUCCAUGUGUAGCGGUGAAAUGCGUAGAUAUAUGGAGGAACACCAGUGGCGAAGGCGGCUCUCUGGUCUGUAACUGACGCUGAGGCUCGAAAGCGUGGGGAGCAAACAGGAUUAGAUACCCUGGUAGUCCACGCCGUAAACGAUGAGUGCUAAGUGUUGGAGGGUUUCCGCCCUUCAGUGCUGCAGCUAACGCAUUAAGCACUCCGCCUGGGGAGUACGACCGCAAGGUUGAAACUCAAAGGAAUUGACGG
This 909-nucleotide ribosomal RNA is filed under the name Enterococcus faecium. RNAcentral's name for it is "bacterial SSU rRNA". It matches the Rfam family "Bacterial small subunit ribosomal RNA", at positions 37 to 916 of the family's 1533-position model. Lineage: Bacteria; Bacillati; Bacillota; Bacilli; Lactobacillales; Enterococcaceae. The record is from RNAcentral.